AGGGCACCACCAGGAGUGGAGCCUGCGGCUUAAUUUGACUCAACACGGGAAAUCUCACCAGGCCCGGACACUGGAAGGAUUGACAGAUUGAGAGCUCUUUCUCGAUUCGGUGGGUGGUGGUGCAUGGCCGUUCUUAGUUGGUGGAGUGAUUUGUCUGGUUAAUUCCGAUAACGAACGAGACUCUGUCCUGCUAAAUAGUUCCAGCGUCCUUAGUGCGCUGGAAAUUCUUCUUAGAGGGACUGGCGGCGUCCAGCCGCACGAGAUUGAGCAAUAACAGGUCUGUGAUGCCCUUAGAUGUCCUGGGCCGCACGCGCGCUACACUGAAGGGAUCAGCGUGUCUUCCCUCUCCGAGAGGAGCGGGUAACCCGCUGAACCCCCUUCGUGGUAGGGAUUGGGGCUUGCAAUUAUUCCCCAUGAACCAGGAAUUCCCAGUAAGCGCAAGUCAUAAGCUUGCGUUGAUUACGUCCCUGCCCUUUGUACACACCGCCCGUCGCUACUACCGAUUGAACGUUUUAGUGA
Molecule: ribosomal RNA, 519 nt
Filed under: uncultured eukaryote
Lineage: Eukaryota
Description: SSU rRNA
Rfam family: Eukaryotic small subunit ribosomal RNA
Source: RNAcentral